Molecule: small nuclear RNA, 107 nt
Filed under: Dasypus novemcinctus (nine-banded armadillo)
Lineage: Eukaryota; Metazoa; Chordata; Mammalia; Cingulata; Dasypodidae
Source: RNAcentral
GUGCUCACUUCAACAGCACAAAUACUAAAAUUGGAAUGAUAUGGAGUGUAUUAGCAUGGCCCCUGUGCAAGUAUGACAUGCAAAUUUGUGAAGCAUUCCAUAUUUAA